ACGGUACAAAGAGCUGCAAGACCGCGAGGUGGAGCUAAUCUCAUAAAACCGUUCUCAGUUCGGAUUGUAGGCUGCAACUCGCCUACAUGAAGCUGGAAUCGCUAGUAAUCGCGGAUCAGCAUGCCGCGGUGAAUACGUUCCCGGGCCUUGUACACACCGCCCGUCACACCACGAGAGUUUGUAACACCCGAAGUCGGUGGGGUAACCUUUUUGGAGCCAGCCGCCUAAGGUGGGACAGAUGAUUGGGGUGAAGUCGUAACAAGGUAGCCGUAUCGGAAGGUGCGGUUG
RNAcentral lists this ribosomal RNA (288 nucleotides) under Bacillus cereus. RNAcentral describes it as "partial 16S ribosomal RNA". It matches the Rfam family "Bacterial small subunit ribosomal RNA", at positions 1234 to 1520 of the family's 1533-position model. The record is from RNAcentral. Lineage: Bacteria; Bacillati; Bacillota; Bacilli; Caryophanales; Bacillaceae.